UAACAUGAGAGUUUGAUACUGGCUCAGAACGAACGCUGGCGGCAGGCUUAACACAUGCAAGUUGAACGGGAUUUGUAUGGUGCUUGCACCACAUAAUGAGAGUAGCGCACUGGUGAGUAACACGUGGGAACAUACCUUGAAGUGGGGGACAACAGUUGGAAACGACUGCUAAUACCGCAUAAUCCCUGAGGGGGAAAGAUUUAUUGCUUUAAGAUUGGCCCGCGGAAGAUUAGGUAGUUGGUGGGGUAAAGGCCUACCAAGCCGAC
RNAcentral lists this ribosomal RNA (266 nucleotides) under Alphaproteobacteria bacterium. Its description in RNAcentral is "partial 16S ribosomal RNA". It matches the Rfam family "Bacterial small subunit ribosomal RNA", at positions 1 to 277 of the family's 1533-position model. Lineage: Bacteria; Pseudomonadati; Pseudomonadota; Alphaproteobacteria. The record is from RNAcentral.